UAUAGACUGGCUUGGCUGCCGAACUUCAAAUGAAGGCAUCUGAAAAUCUAGUUCCUUCAUAUCGUAUACUACUGAAGGUUUGUAACAAUUUUAGCUACAGUCUGAAACUAUUAGACUUUUAAACUUUGUGUCUUUCUAUGUGUUUCUGUGCCUGGCUUUAAGAACCUCCAUGAUUUGGAAGAAUUUAAGUGAAUACAAACCAUUUAACUUUUAGAUGUAUUUUAUACUCUAAAGUGAAAAUAAAGUUGUGAUGUUCUUUGGCUUCAGGGAGAACUUUUGCUGCUUUCUUCAGAACAAAUGAAAUUCCCAUCUCUAGAUGAAUAAGCGAAUGGAGAGAAUCAUAGAAUCAUAGAAUUGUCUAGGUUGGAAGGGACCUUUAAGAUGAUGAUGAAGACAGAAGCAUAUUUGAACCAUGUUCUCUUUGCUUAGUGUCAUUUACCUCUCCUGCUUUAUGAUGGUGACAAUUACGAGAGUUAUGUCAUAUUCUGAUUCUCCAUGAGGUACGGUCAAGUUCUGUGAAAAAGAUACAAAAAUGCCUGAAAGAGUUAAUUGGUGUGGAUGCUGAGCUUCGUCUGCACCACCCAGAGUUCUUCCAGAAGCUCUUCUGCUUGAUACAGCAGCACCCGAUGGUCCUGCAGAGCACAGGCCAAGGGCAACCUACCACUGAGAAUGACAACAGAAAGCCAUCAGGGAUGUCACUCCUCAAAGGACAAGUCCUGUCACUCCUCACAAGUCCUGAGAUGUCAGACGAGGGUUCCUCAGCACCAAGCCUUGCCUCCUCUGGAGCCACGCGAGCCCUUUGGGGUGUGAUUUCUGGGUCUCUGUUUCUUCAUAACCAGGUGGCGGCGGUGCAGAAACGGGGUCUCUGCUUGCCAUUCUGGUGGGAGCUGUGGUGGAUUUCCAGCAGAGAAACCCCAGUGGAGGAAAGCAGCUCCGCAGCAGCCAUCUGUCACCUAGCCGUGUGUGGACACUGCUUCACAAGGAAGGCACAGCCACAGGCAGAUACUCACUCAGGUAUGCCAUGAUUUAAGAACCAAAAAUCAUAGAAUCAUAGAAUUCCCCAGAGUGUCUCCCCAGAGCGGAGCAGAGGGGCAGACUCCCCCCCCGGCCCUGCUGGC
This 1118-nucleotide long non-coding RNA is filed under the name Calidris pygmaea (Spoon-billed sandpiper). Its description in RNAcentral is "lncRNA (ENSCPGG00000009946.1)". Lineage: Eukaryota; Metazoa; Chordata; Aves; Charadriiformes; Scolopacidae. The record is from RNAcentral.